Long non-coding RNA from Portunus trituberculatus (swimming crab), 594 nucleotides. RefSeq lists it as uncharacterized. Lineage: Eukaryota; Metazoa; Arthropoda; Malacostraca; Decapoda; Portunidae. The record is from RefSeq and is a predicted model, not a curated record. The transcript is spliced from 3 exons.
UGGUAUAAUAAAUAAAACCUGCUACCUGCGAUUUCAUUGUCACUGUUUCCCUUGGCCUUUCAACAGUGCGCGCUGUGGCUCCGUGCAGUGAGUAGAAGCUGAAGGGAAGACUUAGUUGUUUUUCCUGACACACAAAUCUGGUGAAAUGCGGCCCGCGGUGCUGGUGUCGGCGGUGAUGGUGGUGGUUCUGCUGAUGGCCCGCCCCCUUACGUCGACCAUAAUUAACCCUCGCCCUGACAAUUGCCAAGUGGGUCUUGUACAAGUCUGCGGUACUGAUUUGGUGACCUAUGACUUCUGCUACUUCAUCGCUGUGCUUGAACGCAACCCUGAUAUCAAGAUUCUGCACAUUGGCAAAUGCACACCAGAAGACAAUAAUGGAUAAGAAAAGAAUUCAGAGAGGGCUUCAAAGGUUCUGUUUUCGCGGUGUAUAAGACUCUAUAGACACCUUCAGAUUUUAAUGGAAUGAUUAGAUCCUUUUGUGUGUGAUCAGCAGAGCCCUUAUAGUAAAAUCCUUACUAAAUUGUGGAAGAGACAAUUUUUGUUAUUUCAUAUUUCCAUCACCACUUACAGAAAUAAAGGUACACGAGAUACUUA